UGGGGAAUAUUGCACAAUGGGCGAAAGCCUGAUGCAGCAACGCCGCGUGAAGGAUGAAGGUCUUCGGAUUGUAAACUUCUAUCAGUAGGGAAGAAAGAUAGCUUCGGCUAUCCUGACGGUACCUAACUAAGAAGCUCCGGCUAACUACGUGCCAGCAGCCGCGGUAAUACGUAGGGAGCAAGCGUUAUCCGGAUUUACUGGGUGUAAAGGGUGCGUAGGCGGCUUGUUAAGUCAAAAGUGAAAUUUCGGGGCUCAACCCCGGAGCUGCUUUUGAAACUGGCGAGCUAGAGUGUGGGAGAGGAAAGUGGAACUUUGAGUGUAGCGGUGAAAUGCGUAGAGAUUCAAAGGAACACCAGUAGCGAAGGCGGCUUUCUGGACCAUUACUGACGCUGAGGCACGAAAGCGUGGGGAGCAAACA
RNAcentral lists this ribosomal RNA (418 nucleotides) under uncultured bacterium. RNAcentral's name for it is "bacterial SSU rRNA". It matches the Rfam family "Bacterial small subunit ribosomal RNA", at positions 355 to 774 of the family's 1533-position model. The record is from RNAcentral.